AGAGUUUGAUCAUGGCUCAGAUUGAACGCUGGCGGCAGGCCUAACACAUGCAAGUCGAACGGUAACAGGAAGAAGCUUGCUUCUUUGCUGACGAGUGGCGGACGGGUGAGUAAUGUCUGGGAAACUGCCUGAUGGAGGGGGAUAACUACUGGAAACGGUAGCUAAUACCGCAUAACGUCGCAAGACCAAAGAGGGGGACCUUCGGGCCUCUUGCCAUCGGAUGUGCCCAGAUGGGAUUAGCUUGUUGGUGGGGUAACGGCUCACCAAGGCGACGAUCCCUAGCUGGUCUGAGAGGAUGACCAGCCACACUGGAACUGAGACACGGUCCAGACUCCUACGGGAGGCAGCAGUGGGGAAUAUUGCACAAUGGGCGCAAGCCUGAUGCAGCCAUGCCGCGUGUAUGAAGAAGGCCUUCGGGUUGUAAAGUACUUUCAGCGGGGAGGAAGGGAGUAAAGUUAAUACCUUUGCUCAUUGACGUUACCCGCAGAAGAAGCACCGGCUAACUCCGUGCCAGCAGCCGCGGUAAUACGGAGGGUGCAAGCGUUAAUCGGAAUUACUGGGCGUAAAGCGCACGCAGGCGGUUUGUUAAGUCAGAUGUGAAAUCCCCGGGCUCAACCUGGGAACUGCAUCUGAUACUGGCAAGCUUGAGUCUCGUAGAGGGGGGUAGAAUUCUAGGUGUAGCGGUGAAAUGCGUAGAGAUCUGGAGGAAUACCGGUGGCGAAGGCGGCCCCCUGGACGAAGACUGACGCUCAGGUGCGAAAGCGUGGGGAGCAAACAGGAUUAGAUACCCUGGUAGUCCACGCCGUAAACGAUGUCGACUUGGAGGUUGUGCCCUUGAGGCGUGGCUUCCGGAGCUAACGCGUUAAGUCGACCGCCUGGGGAGUACGGCCGCAAGGUUAAAACUCAAAUGAAUUGACGGGGGCCCGCACAAGCGGUGGAGCAUGUGGUUUAAUUCGAUGCAACGCGAAGAACCUUACCUGGUCUUGACAUCCACAGAACUUUCCAGAGAUGGAUUGGUGCCUUCGGGAACUGUGAGACAGGUGCUGCAUGGCUGUCGUCAGCUCGUGUUGUGAAAUGUUGGGUUAAGUCCCGCAACGAGCGCAACCCUUAUCCUUUGUUGCCAGCGGUCCGGCCGGGAACUCAAAGGAGACUGCCAGUGAUAAACUGGAGGAAGGUGGGGAUGACGUCAAGUCAUCAUGGCCCUUACGACCAGGGCUACACACGUGCUACAAUGGCGCAUACAAAGAGAAGCGACCUCGCGAGAGCAAGCGGACCUCAUAAAGUGCGUCGUAGUCCGGAUUGGAGUCUGCAACUCGACUCCAUGAAGUCGGAAUCGCUAGUAAUCGUGGAUCAGAAUGCCACGGUGAAUACGUUCCCGGGCCUUGUACACACCGCCCGUCACACCAUGGGAGUGGGUUGCAAAAGAAGUAGGUAGCUUAACCUUCGGGAGGGCGCUUACCACUUUGUGAUUCAUGACUGGGGUGAAGUCGUAACAAGGUAACCGUAGGGGAACCUGCGGUUGGAUCACCU
RNAcentral lists this ribosomal RNA (1530 nucleotides) under Escherichia coli. RNAcentral describes it as "bacterial SSU rRNA". It matches the Rfam family "Bacterial small subunit ribosomal RNA". Lineage: Bacteria; Pseudomonadati; Pseudomonadota; Gammaproteobacteria; Enterobacterales; Enterobacteriaceae. The record is from RNAcentral.